AAUUAUCUAUUUGUGUUUUACCUAAUGAGUUUAGGAAAUUAUGAGUUAUAUAUAAGGAGAUGCUAAUGUGUAGCAUAAUGUGUGAGUUGUGAGCUUAAGUUUUUGAGAGAGUUUUCUUAAGCAUUGUGAGAUUAAUAAACGAGUUCGAGUUUGAGUUCUUUUGUGUUCUUGGGAUCGUGAUUCUAUAUAUACCUCUACUUUAAAAAUAACUGUUUGAAAUGAACAGUUA
This 229-nucleotide long non-coding RNA is filed under the name Brassica napus (rape). Its description in RNAcentral is "long non-coding RNA (BNAP_LNC015852)". Lineage: Eukaryota; Viridiplantae; Streptophyta; Magnoliopsida; Brassicales; Brassicaceae. The record is from RNAcentral.